RNAcentral lists this ribosomal RNA (292 nucleotides) under uncultured microorganism. RNAcentral's name for it is "partial 16S ribosomal RNA". It matches the Rfam family "Bacterial small subunit ribosomal RNA", at positions 505 to 796 of the family's 1533-position model. The record is from RNAcentral.
GUGCCAGCAGCCGCGGUAAUACGUAGGGUGCGAGCGUUAAUCGGAAUUACUGGGCGUAAAGCGUGCGCAGGCGGUUUUGUAAGACAGAGGUGAAAUCCCCGGGCUCAACCUGGGAACUGCCUUUGUGACUGCAAGGCUGGAGUACGGCAGAGGGGGAUGGAAUUCCGCGUGUAGCAGUGAAAUGCGUAGAUAUGCGGAGGAACACCGAUGGCGAAGGCAAUCCCCUGGGCCUGUACUGACGCUCAUGCACGAAAGCGUGGGGAGCAAACAGGAUUAGAUACCCUGGUAGUCC